RNAcentral lists this ribosomal RNA (497 nucleotides) under uncultured bacterium. RNAcentral describes it as "partial 16S ribosomal RNA". It matches the Rfam family "Bacterial small subunit ribosomal RNA", at positions 28 to 507 of the family's 1533-position model. The record is from RNAcentral.
GAUGAACGCUGGCGGCGUGCCUAAUACAUGCAAGUCGAGCGAACAGACGAGGAGCUUGCUCCUCUGACGUUAGCGGCGGACGGGUGAGUAACACGUGGAUAACCUACCAAUAAGACUGGGAUAACUUCGGGAAACCGGAGCUAAUACCGGAUAAUAUAUUGAACCGCAUGGUUCAAUAGUGAAAGACGGUUUUGCUGCCACUUAUAGAUGGAUCCGCGCCGCAUUAGCUAGUUGGUAAGGUAACGGCUUACCAAGGCGACGAUGCGUAGCCGACCUGAGAGGGUGAUCGGCCACACUGGAACUGAGACACGGUCCAGACUCCUACGGGAGGCAGCAGUAGGGAAUCUUCCGCAAUGGGCGAAAGCCUGACGGAGCAACGCCGCGUGAGUGAUGAAGGUCUUCGGAUCGUAAAACUCUGUUAUUAGGGAAGAACAAAUGUGUAAGUAACUAUGCACGUCUUGACGGUACCUAAUCAGAAAGCCACGGCUAACUACGUG